ACCAUUUUUCCUUUACCCAGAUGAAACCCAGCUGCCGCCUUACUUCCUUCAGCCACCAAGAUUCCCUUUUUCCCAAACCUUCCCAAACCCACGCAGCAAAACAGCAAACUCAUGGAAGAAAGAAAAAAGAGAAAGAGGGAAGGAGAGAUGGGGGACUGAAGGAAGAGAAGAAAGAAAGGGAGAAGGGAGAAGAGAGGGAGACGACGCCGGUGGGCCUCACUGCCACCAUCGCCGUCGCUGUGCCGUCGGGAGGGAGAUCCGAGAGAGAGGAAGAGAGCACCGAUGAGGGAGAGCGUCGGGGAGGAAGUAGCUUGCUGCCGCCUUGGCGUCCUGCUGCUCGCGUCAUCACCGCCAGCUUCGUCGGAUCCUUACCGCCGAACCCGUUCUUGCCGCCGCCGUUGGAAUCACGAACAGGGGAAGGAGAAGACGCGGGCCAGUGCCGCGAGGAGGAGCGCGACCCGCUACACGACGCUGCGCCGCCGUGUGUUGUUGCCGUCGCCGAGCUCCCAUGGUUGCCGCCGGCAAGAUUCAAAGGGAGAGAAGCUCGAGGAGAGAGAAAGAUCGGCGGAGGAGGUUUUUGUUCGAGCGGCCGUGCCUCCACCGCCUUUCACCGUUGCAGAUCCGCCACCGUCCACCGCGCCGCACCACGCCACGUUGCCUCCGGAAACCGCCACUGAGGCCUAAGUCUGUUUGGUUAUACAGUCACCACUGUUGCUUGUGUGGCUAUGCCGUGGUGAUUAUAGCUGCCGCCACAGUCACCGCCUGAAUGCCCUGGAAUUUCUAUUGUCUUGCCCUAAUUCAAGUCCAGUGUCACUACCCUGUGUUGUUCCUGCAUUUGAUUUCAUCAAAUUCGAAUCCUGCUGCAACCAUUGUCAUUACCGUAGGAAAAUUAACGCUGCUGCAAAUUAGGAAGGAAAGGGGAUUGUCGCGUUUAAAUUACACGAUCUUGGCUAAUCAAGCUUUACCUUUUCAGGAACCAAAUGAAGAGGCAUUAAGGAGUGUUAUACUGCGUUUGGUUUAUGUAUUGUUGUAUUAAUUAGAUUAUUUUAUUCCCUCGUCUUUGUUAUUACAAAUUUGUAAGAGGGAUAGGAGUUGUAUGUUUUAUAUGUAUAUUAUAUUAUGAAUUAUUAUGUAAGGAGUUUUGUAUAUGAAUCUAUGCCUGCUUGUAUCUUUCUUAAGAUUAAAGUAUUUAUUUCCGGUUUUUGAAAA
Molecule: long non-coding RNA, 1209 nt
Organism: Arachis stenosperma
Lineage: Eukaryota; Viridiplantae; Streptophyta; Magnoliopsida; Fabales; Fabaceae
Exons: 4
Source: RefSeq, a predicted model, not a curated record